RNAcentral lists this ribosomal RNA (253 nucleotides) under uncultured bacterium. RNAcentral's name for it is "partial 16S ribosomal RNA". It matches the Rfam family "Bacterial small subunit ribosomal RNA", at positions 524 to 776 of the family's 1533-position model. The record is from RNAcentral.
UACGAAGGGUGCAAGCGUUACUCGGAAUUACUGGGCGUAAAGCGUGCGUAGGCGGUUUGUUAAGUCCGCUGUGAAAGCCCUGGGCUCAACCUGGGAAUUGCAGUGGAUACUGGCAAGCUAGAGUGCGGUAGAGGAUGGUGGAAUUCCCGGUGUAGCGGUGAAAUGCGUGGAUAUCGAGAAGAACACUUAGGGCGUAGGCAAGACUCUGGACAAAUGCUGACGCUCAUGCACGAAGGCUAGGGUAGCGAACGGG